Molecule: ribosomal RNA, 484 nt
Filed under: uncultured bacterium
Lineage: Bacteria
Description: partial 16S ribosomal RNA
Rfam family: Bacterial small subunit ribosomal RNA
Source: RNAcentral
AUUGAACGCUAGCGGGAUGCUUUACACAUGCAAGUCGAACAGCAGCGCGGACUUCGGUCUGGCGGCGAGUGGCGAACGGGUGAGUAAUGUAUCGGAACGUGCCCAGUAGCGGGGGAUAACUACGCGAAAGCGUAGCUAAUACCGCAUACGCCCUACGGGGGAAAGCAGGGGAUCGUAAGACCUUGCACUAUUGGAGCGGCCGAUAUCGGAUUAGCUAGUUGGUGAGGUAACGGCUCACCAAGGCGACGAUCCGUAGCUGGUUUGAGAGGACGACCAGCCACACUGGGACUGAGACACGGCCCAGACUCCUACGGGAGGCAGCAGUGGGGAAUUUUGGACAAUGGGGGCAACCCUGAUCCAGCCAUCCCGCGUGUGCGAUGAAGGCCUUCGGGUUGUAAAGCACUUUUGGCAGGAAAGAAACGUCGCGGGCUAAUACCCCGUGGAACUGACGGUACCUGCAGAAUAAGCACCGGCUAACUACGUG